RNAcentral lists this ribosomal RNA (253 nucleotides) under uncultured bacterium. Its description in RNAcentral is "partial 16S ribosomal RNA". It matches the Rfam family "Bacterial small subunit ribosomal RNA", at positions 524 to 776 of the family's 1533-position model. The record is from RNAcentral.
UACGUAGGGGGCAAGCGUUGUCCGGAAUUAUUGGGCGUAAAGCGCGUGUAGGCGGCCAGGUAGGUCUGCUGUGAAAACUCGAGGCUCAACCUCGAGACGUCGGCGGAAACCAUCUGGCUAGAGUCCGGAAGAGGAGAGUGGAAUUCCUGGUGUAGCGGUGAAAUGCGCAGAUAUCAGGAAGAACACCCGUGGCGAAGGCGGCUCUCUGGGACGGUACUGACGCUGAGACGCGAAAGCGUGGGGAGCGAACAGG